This 253-nucleotide ribosomal RNA is filed under the name uncultured bacterium. RNAcentral describes it as "partial 16S ribosomal RNA". It matches the Rfam family "Bacterial small subunit ribosomal RNA", at positions 524 to 776 of the family's 1533-position model. The record is from RNAcentral.
UACGUAGGGUGCAAGCGUUAAUCGGAAUUACUGGGCGUAAAGCGUGCGCAGGCGGUUUUGUAAGUCUGUCGUGAAAGCCCCGGGCUCAACCUGGGAAUUGCGAUGGAGACUGCAAGGCUUGAAUCUGGCAGAGGGGGGUAGAAUUCCACGUGUAGCAGUGAAAUGCGUAGAGAUGUGGAGGAACACCGAUGGCGAAGGCAGCCCCCUGGGUCAAGAUUGACGCUCGUGCACGAAAGCGUGGGGAGCAAACAGG